This 406-nucleotide ribosomal RNA is filed under the name uncultured bacterium. RNAcentral's name for it is "partial 16S ribosomal RNA". It matches the Rfam family "Bacterial small subunit ribosomal RNA", at positions 30 to 526 of the family's 1533-position model. The record is from RNAcentral.
AUUGAACGCUGGCGGCAGGCCUAACACAUGCAAGUCGAACGAGUGGCGGACGGGUGAGUAAUGUCUGGGAAUCUGCCUGAUGGCGGGGGAUAACUACUGGAAACGGUAGCUAAUACCGUAUACCAUCAGAUGCGCCCAGAUGGGAUUAGCUAGUUUGGGGGGUAACGGCUCACCAAGGCGACGAUCCCUAGUUGGUCUGAGAGGAUGACCACGCAACCUGUGACUGGGACACGGUCCAGACUCAUAAGGGAGGCAGCAGUGGGGAAUAUUGCACAAGGGGCGCAAGCCUGAUGCAGCCAUGCGCCGUGUAUGAAGAAGGCCUUCGGGUUGUAAAGUACUUUCAGCGGGGAGGCGUUACCCACAGAAUAAGCACCGGCUAACUCCGUGCCAGCCGCCGCGGUAAUUC